This 536-nucleotide ribosomal RNA is filed under the name uncultured Gemmatimonas sp. RNAcentral's name for it is "bacterial SSU rRNA". It matches the Rfam family "Bacterial small subunit ribosomal RNA", at positions 96 to 633 of the family's 1533-position model. Lineage: Bacteria; Pseudomonadati; Gemmatimonadota; Gemmatimonadia; Gemmatimonadales; Gemmatimonadaceae. The record is from RNAcentral.
CGGCGAACGGGUGCGUAACACGUGAGCGACCUGCCGAUCUGCGGGGGAUAGCCGGCCCAACGGCCGGGUAAUACCGCAUACGCUCUCCCUAGGGCAUCCUGGGGUGAGGAAACUUCCGGGGCGGAUCGAGGGGCUCGCGGCCUAUCAGCUAGUUGGCGAGGUAACGGCUCGCCAAGGCGACGACGGGUAGCUGGUCUGAGAGGAUGGCCAGCCACAUUGGGACUGAGAAACGGCCCAGACUCCUACGGGAGGCAGCAGUGGGGAAUAUUGCGCAAUGGCCGCAAGGCUGACGCAGCGACGCCGCGUGUGGGAGGACGCCUUUCGGGGUGUAAACCACUGUUGCCCGGGACGAACAACUGGCAUUGGCCAGUCUGACGGUACCGGGUGAGGAAGCACCGGCUAACUCCGUGCCAGCAGCCGCGGUAAUACGGAGGGUGCGAGCGUUGUCCGGAAUCACUGGGCGUAAAGGGCGCGUAGGCGGUGCGGUAAGCGUGCGGUGAAAGCUCGGGGCUCAACCCCGAGUCGGCCGUGCGAAC